ACUGAACGAGACCUUAACCUACUAAAUAGUGGUGCUAGCAUUUGCUGGUUAUCCACUUCUUAGAGGGACUAUCGGUUUCAAGCCGAUGGAAGUUUGAGGCAAUAACAAGUCUGUGAUGCCNUUAGACGUUCUGGGCNGCACGCGCGCUACACUGACGGAGCCAGCGAGUCUAACCUUGGCCGAGAGGUCUUGGUAAUCUUGUGAAACUCNNNNGUGCUGGGGAUAGAGCAUUGUAAUUAUUGCUCUUCAACGAGGAAUUCCUAGUAAGCGCAA
Molecule: ribosomal RNA, 273 nt
Filed under: Saccharomyces cerevisiae (brewer's yeast)
Lineage: Eukaryota; Fungi; Ascomycota; Saccharomycetes; Saccharomycetales; Saccharomycetaceae
Description: partial 18S ribosomal RNA
Rfam family: Eukaryotic small subunit ribosomal RNA
Source: RNAcentral